Molecule: long non-coding RNA, 452 nt
Filed under: Linum usitatissimum (flax)
Lineage: Eukaryota; Viridiplantae; Streptophyta; Magnoliopsida; Malpighiales; Linaceae
Description: long non-coding RNA (LUSI_LNC007151)
Source: RNAcentral
UUGAAUGUGAAGGAGACUGCCCAUGCGCCCAGCCAAUUUACCAACACCACCAGGCUUCCUCCCACUCCCUUCAUGUUUAUGGGGAAGAUCUGUUCCAGAAAUCGCCAUGUGAGUGAUUCUUCUGAAUUGAUUGGAUGAUAUGGAAAUUGUCAUAAUAAUGUCAUGUUGUUUAGGGUUUUGAGUGUUGUAUACCUCAGACAUGAUCACCCAGGGCACUGCUCCCAUUCCAAUUGAGAAUGCAGAAAUGUACACCUGAUUUUUUCAUUUCACAGUUUUUAGAUCAAUAAAAAACCAUAACUCUCAAUUUUGCAGAGAAAAUUGAAGACUGUGGUUCGUGAAUUUACCAGUACGCCAGAUACAGCUAGGAUAGGCACCCAGUCGAGCAGCAAAUCGUGGCUCUGGUUCAGUGACGAGUCGUUAGGAACAUUGUUUAGGGCUUUCAAUAAAAAAAA